This 253-nucleotide ribosomal RNA is filed under the name uncultured bacterium. Its description in RNAcentral is "partial 16S ribosomal RNA". It matches the Rfam family "Bacterial small subunit ribosomal RNA", at positions 524 to 776 of the family's 1533-position model. The record is from RNAcentral.
UACGUAGGUGGCAAGCGUUAUCCGGAAUUAUUGGGCGUAAAGAGCGCGCAGGUGGUUAAUUAAGUCUGAUGUGAAAGCCCACGGCUUAACCGUAGAGGGUCAUUGGAAACUGGUUGACUUGAGUGCAGAAGAGGGAAGUGGAAUUCCAUGUGUAGCGGUGAAAUGCGUAGAGAUAUGGAGGAACACCAGUGGCGAAGGCGGCUUCCUGGUCUGCAACUGACACUGAGGCGCGAAAGCGUGGGGAGCAAACAGG